RNAcentral lists this small RNA (52 nucleotides) under Sinorhizobium meliloti 2011. RNAcentral's name for it is "putative ncRNA". Lineage: Bacteria; Pseudomonadati; Pseudomonadota; Alphaproteobacteria; Hyphomicrobiales; Rhizobiaceae. The record is from RNAcentral.
CCAUCGCGUCCGAACUCCUCCCACCCGGCCAGGUUGGAGGCGGCGUCGCCGU